This is a non-coding RNA of Paramuricea clavata, 102 nucleotides long. The record is from the annotation of a GenBank genome assembly. Lineage: Eukaryota; Metazoa; Cnidaria; Anthozoa; Malacalcyonacea; Plexauridae.
UUAGAUUACAAACGGGAAAUGGUUACCACUUCUGUGCGUAAUGGUAAGAAAAUGGUGCGUAAUGGUAAGAAAAGUGGUAACCAUUUCCCGUUUGUAAUCUAA